GACGAACGCUGGCGGCGUGCUUAACACAUGCAAGUCGAACGGAAAGGCCCUUCGGGGUACUCGAGUGGCGAACGGGUGCGUAACACGUGGGUGAUCUGCCCUGCACUUUGGGAUAAGCCUGGGAAACUGGGUCUAAUACCGAAUAGGACCACGCGCUUCAUGGUGUGUGGUGGAAAGCUUUUGCGGUGUGGGAUGGGCCCGCGGCCUAUCAGCUUGUUGGUGGGGUAAUGGCCUACCAAGGCGACGACGGGUAGCCGGCCUGAGAGGGUGACCGGCCACACUGGGACUGAGAUACGGCCCAGACUCCUACGGGAGGCAGCAGUGGGGAAUAUUGCACAAUGGGCGCAAGCCUGAUGCAGCGACGCCGCGUGAGGGAUGACGGCCUUCGGGUUGUAAACCUCUUUCACCAGGGACGAAGCGUAAGUGACGGUACCUGGAGAAGAAGCACCGGCCAACUACGUG
RNAcentral lists this ribosomal RNA (462 nucleotides) under uncultured bacterium. RNAcentral describes it as "partial 16S ribosomal RNA". It matches the Rfam family "Bacterial small subunit ribosomal RNA", at positions 28 to 507 of the family's 1533-position model. The record is from RNAcentral.